UUAAGUUAUUAAGGGCGCACGGUGGAUGCCUUGGCACUAGAAGCCGAUGAAGGACGUUACUAACGACGAUAUGCUUUGGGGAGCUGUAAGUAAGCUUUGAUCCAGAGAUUUCCGAAUGGGGAAACCCAGCAUGAGUUAUGUCAUGUUAUCGAUAUGUGAAUACAUAGCAUAUCAGAAGGCACACCCGGAGAACUGAAACAUCUUAGUACCCGGAGGAAGAGAAAGAAAAUUCGAUUCCCUUAGUAGCGGCGAGCGAAACGGGAAGAGCCCAAACCAAAAAGCUUGCUUGUUGGGGUUGUAGGACACUCUAUACGGAGUUACAAAGGACGACAUUAGACGAAUCAUCUGGAAAGAUGAAUCAAAGAAGGUAAUAAUCCUGUAGUCGAAAAUGUUGUCUCUCUUGAGUGGAUCCUGAGUACGACGGAGCACGUGAAAUUCCGUCGGAAUCUGGGAGGACCAUCUCCUAAGGCUAAAUACUCUCUAGUGACCGAUAGUGAACCAGUACCGUGAGGGAAAGGUGAAAAGCACCCCGGAAGGAGAGUGAAAUAGAACCUGAAACCGUGUGCUUACAAGUAGUCAGAGCCCGUUAAUGGGUGAUGGCGUGCCUUUUGUAGAAUGAACCGGCGAGUUACGAUUUGAUGCAAGGUUAAGCAGUAAAUGUGGAGCCGUAGCGAAAGCGAGUCUGAAUAGGGCGUUUAGUAUUUGGUCGUAGACCCGAAACCAGGUGAUCUACCCUUGGUCAGGUUGAAGUUCAGGUAACACUGAAUGGAGGACCGAACCGACUUACGUUGAAAAGUGAGCGGAUGAACUGAGGGUAGCGGAGAAAUUCCAAUCGAACCUGGAGAUAGCUGGUUCUCUCCGAAAUAGCUUUAGGGCUAGCCUCAAGUGAUGAUUAUUGGAGGUAGAGCACUGUUUGGACGAGGGGCCCCUCUCGGGUUACCGAAUUCAGACAAACUCCGAAUGCCAAUUAAUUUAACUUGGGAGUCAGAACAUGGGUGAUAAGGUCCGUGUUCGAAAGGGAAACAGCCCAGACCACCAGCUAAGGUCCCAAAAUAUAUGUUAAGUGGAAAAGGAUGUGGCGUUGCCCAGACAACUAGGAUGUUGGCUUAGAAGCAGCCAUCAUUUAAAGAGUGCGUAAUAGCUCACUAGUCGAGUGACACUGCGCCGAAAAUGUACCGGGGCUAAACAUAUUACCGAAGCUGUGGAUUGUCCUUUGGACAAUGGUAGGAGAGCGUUCUAAGGGCGUUGAAGCAUGAUCGUAAGGACAUGUGGAGCGCUUAGAAGUGAGAAUGCCGGUGUGAGUAGCGAAAGACGGGUGAGAAUCCCGUCCACCGAUUGACUAAGGUUUCCAGAGGAAGGCUCGUCCGCUCUGGGYUAGUCGGGUCCUAAGCUGAGGCCGACAGGCGUAGGCGAUGGAUAACAGGUUGAUAUUCCUGUACCACCUAUAAUCGUUUUAAUCGAUGGGGGGACGCAGUAGGAUAGGCGAAGCGUGCGAUUGGAUUGCACGUCUAAGCAAUAAGGCUGAGUAUUAGGCAAAUCCGGUACUCGUUAAGGCUGAGCUGUGAUGGGGAGAAGACAUUGUGUCUUCGAGUCGUUGAUUUCACACUGCCGAGAAAAGCCUCUAGAUAGAAAAUAGGUGCCCGUACCGCAAACCGACACAGGUAGUCAAGAUGAGAAUUCUAAGGUGAGCGAGCGAACUCUCGUUAAGGAACUCGGCAAAAUGACCCCGUAACUUCGGGAGAAGGGGUGCUCUUUAGGGUUAACGCCCAGAAGAGCCGCAGUGAAUAGGCCCAAGCGACUGUUUAUCAAAAACACAGGUCUCUGCUAAACCGUAAGGUGAUGUAUAGGGGCUGACGCCUGCCCGGUGCUGGAAGGUUAAGAGGAGUGGUUAGCUUCUGCGAAGCUACGAAUCGAAGCCCCAGUAAACGGCGGCCGUAACUAUAACGGUCCUAAGGUAGCGAAAUUCCUUGUCGGGUAAGUUCCGACCCGCACGAAAGGCGUAACGAUUUGGGCACUGUCUCCCACCACGAUAAGUGGUGCGGGUUAGAAAGCCAACACAGCUAG
Molecule: ribosomal RNA, 2064 nt
Filed under: Staphylococcus aureus
Lineage: Bacteria; Bacillati; Bacillota; Bacilli; Caryophanales; Staphylococcaceae
Description: bacterial LSU rRNA
Source: RNAcentral